This 305-nucleotide ribosomal RNA is filed under the name uncultured bacterium. RNAcentral's name for it is "partial 16S ribosomal RNA". It matches the Rfam family "Bacterial small subunit ribosomal RNA", at positions 335 to 658 of the family's 1533-position model. The record is from RNAcentral.
GUCCUACGGGGGGCAGCAGUGGGGGAUAUUGCACAAUGGGGGAAACCCUGAUGCAGCGACGCCGCGUGGGCGAAGAAGUAUUUCGGUAUGUAAAGCCCUAUCAGCAGGGAAGAAAAUGACGGUACCUGAAGAAGAAGCCCCGGCUAACUACGUGCCAGCAGCCGCGGUAAUACGUAGGGGGCAAGCGUUAUCCGGAUUUACUGGGUGUAAAGGGGGCGCAGACGGCGAUGCAAGCCAGGAGUGAAAGCCCGGGGCCCAACCCCGGGACUGCUCUUGGAACUGCGUGGCUGGAGUGAAGGAGGGGG